UCACUUUCAACAACGGAUCUCUUGGCUCUCGCAUCGAUGAAGAACGUAGCGAAGUGCGAUAAGUAGUGUGAAUUGCAGAAUUCCGUGAAUCAUCGAAUUUUUGAACGCAAAUUGCACUCCCUGGUAUUCCGGGGAGUAUGCCUGUUUGAGGGUCAGUC
Molecule: ribosomal RNA, 158 nt
Filed under: uncultured fungus
Lineage: Eukaryota; Fungi
Description: 5.8S ribosomal RNA
Rfam family: 5.8S ribosomal RNA
About the family: 5.8S ribosomal RNA (5.8S rRNA) is a component of the large subunit of the eukaryotic ribosome. It is transcribed by RNA polymerase I as part of the 45S precursor that also contains 18S and 28S rRNA. Functionally, it is thought that 5.8S rRNA may be involved in ribosome translocation.
Source: RNAcentral